Non-coding RNA from Camellia sinensis, 401 nucleotides. Lineage: Eukaryota; Viridiplantae; Streptophyta; Magnoliopsida; Ericales; Theaceae. The record is from RefSeq and is a predicted model, not a curated record.
AGAGAACUUAAGACUUAAGCUCAAAAUAUCUUGUUGAGAGUUCUAGAGAGGGAAAGCAAGAGGAGGAGAGAAAAGAUUAAGUCAAGGCUUGGAAGCUUGGGGAUUUGAAAGGGAAAUUCAAGGCUUGAGCUCAAGGUUGCCUGCCGGAAGGACCAUCGCAAGGCCAAUAUCACUGUGGAGUUUUAAGCAUUGGCAAACACAAUUGGGCAUGGGUUGUUGUCAAAUUAAGUUUGUCUAUGUUGGGUUUUCUUUUGCCAUUAAGAUAUAAUGGAAUUUACAGGAUUCCACUUGCAGUGAAUAUUCAAAUUCCUUUUGAUUGCGGUGGUCUUGGAGGCAAAGGCAAUUUAUAUAGAAGGCAGCUUUAUGGUGGAACAUGCUUUACAAAUUGCGGAAGCAUGAAC